GGCUGCAGUGAGCUGUGAUCGUGCCACUGCACUUCAGCCUGGGCGAUAGGGUGAGACCCUGUCUGAAAACGAACAAGAGUCAAGCUUGAGAAAUCCCUUCUGAGGAACCGAUGCUGGUGGGGGCCAGCACCGCUGGACAGGCCUGUUGGUAGCUCCUAGUUCUGUCUGCUGCGGAACCCAAACCUUCCCAGGAUCUGGGUCGAGCCUGGCUGCUGCUCAGCUCGGCUUCCCUCUGCAACCUGAGAGCCACAAGGCCGGGACGGCCGGGCUGCGCCUGCUCCAGUGGCCUGCCUUGGGGGGGCUGCGUGUGUGCUGGCUGCGGAAAUGGCACUUUUCUUCUGAGAAUGAAUGUCCUGCCCCCCAUGGCUGGUCCUGCAAGCACGGGGUCCCACUGCUGUCCCUGCUUCUGCUGUGCCCACCCUUCAGCCCCCACGAGCCCCGGGCGGUGGGACAUCUGUUGUUACUUAGUCCUGUCUUCUGAUAAUUGUGGGUUUGUGUUUGGAUCUGGCUGUGGCCAUAAUACAGUGGUGGGGUUCUAGAAGGAGCCGCAGCAGUGGGUGAACGUGGGCGGAGGUAAGCUGACUUGCGGGCGGUGGGAUUUUAGAGCACGAUUCUCUGCUGCUGCGGAUGUGACGUCCGCUCCCGCGCUGGCCGCUGGGGGGCGCUUGGGGCCUGGUCCUGCCGUCCCCCGACCAGGCCACCUGGGCUGGUGUGAACACAGUGUGAGCACAGCCUGUGUCUGCGUGUUUCAGGGUUAAGGCCGUAUUUCAGAAGGGGAAAUGUGAUGGCCGCCACACCCUGGAUUCCAGAUUCUUUUCUAGCCAGACUUAGCCGGGAGCUCAGUGCAGUGAGCUCUGUCGCACACGCUCGUGCCCUCCUCACCGUGCACGGCCCACAGGGGAGGAAUGGCGCCCACGUGCCCAGCAUGGCUUUGAGCACGGUCUGCUCCGACUGCACUGCCGAGUGGCCCAGUCAGCUCUGCGUCAUCGCCGCUGGAGGUGGCCGAGCUCAGCGAUGACACCGGUAUUUCCUGGCAAAGCUGAGGUCAAGCUGAAACUUCUCGUGGGGUGUUCAGCCACCUGGAGUGGUGACUUCCCCUGAGACCCCGUGCUCAGGACAUCGCAGAGCCUUAACUGUCGGUGCUGCACACGUGGGCAGGAAGGGCAGGGCCCAGCUACCUGGGCCACUGCCGCUAGGAGGCGUGGCAACGGGACUGCGCACGAGGGUCUGAAGGUGGGCGGGCUGAGAGGUGGCCCUCGGAGGCACUGGAUGCGAGGAAGGCCAGGGGUCUGCAGGCUGCACCCCCAGCUCCAGGACUGGCCGUGGAGGCCCCCAGCAAACACUUGGUCGGGCAGGCACAUGGGCCCUGGAUGGGCUGGGCCCUGGCCUGUGCCCAGGGGACAGUCCUGCUGGGGGUCAUGGGGGGACCACGGGCCAGCAGGACCUGUUGGGCUCAGCCUCUGGGCCCAGCUGUGGGUUUUGCUGCAGUGCCCCGUGCCCUGAGCCACCCUGUGUGUGCUCGCUGUUCCACCCCUCCUCGCCCUGCCGUCCGGAGGGAGGGCGGGAAGAUGGCCUGGUGCUGCUGGGGUGCGGGGCGGGCAGAGCGUUGUCCUGGAGUGUGCGGGUGUUGGCAGAGCACCGUGCCAUGCGCCAGGGUCGGUGGUCACUUGCUCUCGGCCCUCGGGAGGGAGGGUCCUAAGCUCAGCCUCCCCUGGUGUCCGCGGUGACUUCCUUGGGGCGUGUCCCACCCUGGGACGGAUGCAGGGGGACCUGGAGACUGGCUGUGUCCAGGGUGUACACCAGGGUGUGGGGCGUGUGCCCCAGGGUCCCCUCACGCUUCUUGGCUGCCGCGGACCACCCAGGCCUGCCGAGGGAGGGGCCUGCGGGGCUCUCGCUGCUGCUCUUUGAGAAGAUGCGCUGUCCCUCCCGUCCGCCCCGCACUCCUAACGUGCAGUGCACCUGACCAGUGACCACAGCUGGUGCCAGGACAACGGUGUGCCCUCUCCCGGGUCUGGGGACACACGUCUGAAAUCCAGGUGUCCAGGGCCACACUCCCUCCCUGGAGCCUCCUUCCUGCCUCUUCCCGCUCUGGUGGCUCCAGACACUCCCUGGCCCGUGGCCCAUCACUCCCGCCCUGCUGUCCUCAGGAUGUGUCUCUAUAAGGGCACUUGUCAUUGGACCUGGGCCCCGCAAACCAGGAUCUUACCUCGAGAUCCUUAAUCACGUCUGCAAAGACUCCUUUUCUAAACAAGGCACCAUUGACAGGUUCCAGGUGGACAUAAUUUGAGGGUCGCCAUUCAACCCACCUGCCUAAUGUUAUUAAAACACUGUUAGAAAAAAAUGGUAAUGUGUUGAUCUCAUCUUCUUAGGAUGAGGUGACGGGGACUGGAGGAAUCCGGGCGAGCCUCGGGCAAGCUCGGCCCUCCUGAGGGCCCAGCGUGGACGACCUGGGCAGCCUGACCUUUACCACGGCUGGACGUGGCUGUUGCCAGGAAUUCAGGAGCUGCCAGCUGGUGCCCUGCUCAGACCUGGAUCCGCCCCUGCUGCUGAGUCCCCUCGGCCAUCAUGCCCCAGGCCGGCCUCCCUACACCUGUGGGCACUGAGGGCUGUUUCAGCCCGGUGCGGGCCCGGCAAGGCGCCCGUCCCUCUGGCCACCUGAAGCUGACUUCUGCAUCACGUUCUGGAGAAUUCAUCCUUCUCAAGAUCAUCUUGCCCCCCAAAUUUGGAAGAUCCACAAGAAGACAUAGUGAGCAGUUCUGCUGAGUCACUUGCCUUUGGGGGCACAGUGGCUCACACCUGGGAUCCCACACUGUGGGAGGCCAAGGCAGCAGGACUGCUUGAGGC
Molecule: long non-coding RNA, 2844 nt
Organism: Lemur catta (Ring-tailed lemur)
Lineage: Eukaryota; Metazoa; Chordata; Mammalia; Primates; Lemuridae
Exons: 3
Source: RefSeq, a predicted model, not a curated record